CCCAGCUUGCUGGGCGGAUUAGUGGCGAACGGGUGAGUAAUACGUGAGUAACCUGCCCUUGACUCUGGGAUAAGCCUGGGAAACUGGGUCUAAUACUGGAUACUACUGUCCAUCGCAUGGUGGGUGGUGGAAAGGGUUUUACUGGUUUUGGAUGGGCUCACGGCCUAUCAGCUUGUUGGUGGGGUAAUGGCUCACCAAGGCGACGACGGGUAGCCGGCCUGAGAGGGUGACCGGCCACACUGGGACUGAGACACGGCCCAGACUCCUACGGGAGGCAGCAGUGGGGAAUAUUGCACAAUGGGCGGAAGCCUGAUGCAGCGACGCCGCGUGAGGGAUGACGGCCUUCGGGUUGUAAACCUCUUUCAGUAGGGAAGAAGCGAAAGUGACGGUACCUGCAGAAGAAGCGCCGGCUAACUACGUGCCAGCAGCCGCGGUAAUACGUAGGGCGCAAGCGUUGUCCGGAAUUAUUGGGCGUAAAGAGCUCGUAGGCGGUUUGUCGCGUCUGCUGUGAAAGCCCGGGGCUCAACCCCGGGUCUGCAGUGGGUACGGGCAGACUAGAGUGCAGUAGGGGAGACUGGAAUUCCUGGUGUAGCGGUGAAAUGCGCAGAUAUCAGGAGGAACACCGAUGGCGAAGGCAGGUCUCUGGGCUGUUACUGACGCUGAGGAGCGAAAGCAUGGGGAGCGAACAGGAUUAGAUACCCUGGUAGUCCAUGCCGUAAACGUUGGGCACUAGGUGUGGGGGACAUUCCACGUUUUCCGCGCCGUAGCUAACGCAUUAAGUGCCCCGCCUGGGGAGUACGGCCGCAAGGCUAAAACUCAAAGGAAUUGACGGGGGCCCGCACAAGCGGCGGAGCAUGCGGAUUAAUUCGAUGCAACGCGAAGAACCUUACCAAGGCUUGACAUUCACCGGACCGCCUCAGAGAUGGGGUUUCCCUUCGGGGCUGGUGGACAGGUGGUGCAUGGUUGUCGUCAGCUCGUGUCGUGAGAUGUUGGGUUAAGUCCCGCAACGAGCGCAACCCUCGUUCUAUGUUGCCAGCACGUGAUGGUGGGGACUCAUAGGAGACUGCCGGGGUCAACUCGGAGGAAGGUGGGGAUGACGUCAAAUCAUCAUGCCCCUUAUGUCUUGGGCUUCACGCAUGCUACAAUGGCCGGUACAAAGGGUUGCGAUACUGUGAGGUGGAGCUAAUCCCAAAAAGCCGGUCUCAGUUCGGAUUGAGGUCUGCAACUCGACCUCAUGAAGUCGGAGUCGCUAGUAAUCGCAGAUCAGCAACGCUGCGGUGAAUACGUUCCCGGGCCUUGUACACACCGCCCGUCAAGUCACGAAAGUUUUUACGACCUUGGUACGA
This 1346-nucleotide ribosomal RNA is filed under the name Kocuria rosea subsp. polaris. Its description in RNAcentral is "bacterial SSU rRNA". It matches the Rfam family "Bacterial small subunit ribosomal RNA", at positions 74 to 1430 of the family's 1533-position model. The record is from RNAcentral. Lineage: Bacteria; Bacillati; Actinomycetota; Actinomycetes; Micrococcales; Micrococcaceae.